Molecule: ribosomal RNA, 502 nt
Filed under: uncultured bacterium
Lineage: Bacteria
Description: partial 16S ribosomal RNA
Rfam family: Bacterial small subunit ribosomal RNA
Source: RNAcentral
AUUGAACGCUGGCGGCAUGCCUUACACGUGCAAGUCGAACGGCAGCAUAGGAGCUUGCUCCUGAUGGCGAGUGGCGAACGGGUGAGUAAUAUAUCGGAACGUGCCCUAGAGUGGGGGAUAACUAGUCGAAAGACUAGCUAAUACCGCAUACGAUCUACGGGUGAAAGUGGGGGAUCGCAAGACCUCAUGCUCCUGGAGCGGCCGAUAUCUGAUUAGCUAGUUGGUGGGGUAAAAGCCUACCAAGGCAACGAUCAGUAGCUGGUCUGAGAGGACGACCAGCCACACUGGGACUGAGAAACGGCCCAGACUCCUACGGGAGGCAGCAGUGGGGAAUUUUGGACAAUGGGGGCAACCCUGAUCCAGCAAUGCCGCGUGAGUGAAGAAGGCCUUCGGGUUGUAAAGCUCUUUUGUCAGGGAAGAAACGGUAGUAGCGAAUAACUAUUACUAAUGACGGUACCUGAAGAAUAAGCACCGGCUAACUACGUGCCAGCAGCCGCCGUAA